CCGAAGAGAAACUAUUACUAACUUUCACUCUGAAUCUAUUGAGAAGAUACUCAAAAAGUUGAAUCAAGAUUGGCUUGGGCAGUUUGCAAGCCAAGAGAAGAUCCAGGCCGAGCUGAUUGGGUGGAAGAAGACGUUGGUGAAGAUUAAUGAGGUGCUAGAUGAUGCGGUGAAGAAACAGACGAAGGAGGAGUUAGUGAAGAAGUGGCUAGGCAAACUUCGCAACUUGGCUUGCGAUGUUGAUUACCUGUUGGAUGAGUUUCAAACGGAAGCUUUCCAGAGGAUGUUGCUGCAAGAUGAUGAUGACGUGGCAUCUAAAGUAAAGGAGGUCAAUGCUAGUUUGCAAGAUAUUGCAUCGCAGAUAGAACUACUAGAUUUGAGAAAAAGAUCAGGUGGAAUGUCUGUCAAUGCCGGCAGAGUAAUCUUGUCGGCAGUGAGACUUGGAAGAGGAGUUAGAGAUCCUGGCGCUGCAACCUUGUCGGCAGUAAAUGACUCAAAAUUUACAAAAAGAGCAGUUAGACCAACAGCGGCAAGACUUGCAGUUUCGAAAGCGGAUCCGUCUGCAUCUUUUCUGGGGAUGCUGAUGCCAACCUUUUAGCUGUUACGAUAGCGGCUCAGGAUCCGGAUAUCCUCUUCAGCGGCGGCGGCAAGAGCUUUCUGACUGGAAGCCGAACAGCAAAGUUUAGCUAUGGAUAUUCCUCCUUUAAUGGUAAAAACUCUUCAAUGGAAGAAUUUUGUGAGGCAACCUUAUCUGCGGUUGAUCGUCAGAAGGUUGCUUUUUUCGGUGUUUAUGAUGGUCAUGGAGGCUCCAGAACUUCAGAGUAUCUAAGAAACCAUCUCUUUAAAAAUUUAAGCAGCCAUCCAGAUUUUAUAGAAGACACAAAGACAGCUAUUGUUGAAGUUUUUACAAACACUGAUGAGAAUUACCUUAGUGAAGAGAAAGGCCAGCAAAAAGAUACUGGGUCAACUGCUUCGACUGCUGUGCUGUUAGGGGAUCGGCUGGUUGUUGCAAAUGUUGGUGAUUCCAGAGUGGUGGCCUCCAGAGCUGGCUCAGCUAUUCCACUGUCUGUUGAUCAUAAACCUGAUCCAGCUGAUGAACGACAAAGGAUUGAAGACGCUGGAGGUUUUGUUAUUUGGGCAGGAACAUGGCGGGUUGGGGGUGUUCUUCCUGUUUCUCGUGCAUUUGGGGACAAAUUACUAAAGCAAUACGUCGUUGCCGAGCCAGAAAUUCAGGAAGAAGAAAUUGAUGGUAUCGACUUUAUAAUCGUUGCUAGUGAUGGACUUUGGAAUGUCAUAUCCAAUGAGGAAGCUGUUGCAAUGGUGGAACACAUAACCGAUGCAGAAGCAGCAUCAAGGAAGCUCAUCACAGACGCUUAUGCACGCGGGAGCUCUGACAACAUUACUUGUGUCGUUGUUCGGUUUGAGAACUCGCGACCAGACACUUGACGUUAUCUUGCGGCUGUUAUAUAGGACUUUGUACGGCGGCCAAGCCAGAAAUAAAAGAAAUUUUCAUUGAUGCAUUUUCCCGUUACACUUUUUGAAAAACUGUUAACUGUGCCGGGCUGCAGCUCAGCUUUCAGUAAGUUGUUCCUCAUUUCUCUGUUCAUGUUUGAUUAAACCUCAGUUGUUAUUUGCCUCAAUGUUCUUUAAGAAGAUUGGGUGGCCCAGCACCUACAGUCUAUUCUUGCGAAUGAAAAUGUAGCAUCUUUUGGACUGGUUUGAAAAUAGAAAAGGGGUCACUAUCAAAAGCGCAAUGGCACUUGCUUUGAAGUUUGAAGGAACCUUUUUUUUUUUUUAACAACUACUUUUCUGGGAAAAACAAAAAUGUACUUUCUUCGCACUUCCCCUUUGUCAACAUCUGUUAGAGAAUAUGCUUCAUGGCAGGAACUACGUACUAAAGUUAAUUAAUCAUUAAUCAGACGACAAAGACAAGAAAGCUAUCAAAAUGAGAGCUAGCAUUUGAUUCAUCGGACUCGACUAGCUUACAGAAUCUGUAAGGUACAGACUGCAGCAUCAGUGGUUGGAUGUGGUUGGAUGUGGAGUGAGAAACUAAACAAUAAAAAAUCGGAUGGUGGGAUGACGGGAGAUGUUUGUUACAGAAUCUGUACCAUAGACAGGUCCUAAUUCAUCAGGUAUAUUAUAUGGUACUAGAGAAAAUUGGAAAGGACAAUUUACUAAGUCGACAACUUGUACAACUAAUGCACGCUAAAAGGUUGACUAAUGAGUACGUGCUAGAUAUCAAGUUAAUAUUUGAUUUUAAGGUGAUGUAUCUUUUAAGGCAUAAUUCAUGUGAAUAAAUGAUUGUAAUUGUGAAAUAAAAAUUGGUAGUUUUUUAUAAAUGUAAUUGUUAUAUUAAUUUUGAAAAAAUAAUAAAAAUAUUAUCAUUUUUUUCAUAGUAUAAAAUAAAAUCAACUUAAUUUUUAAACCACAUCAUAAAAUAUUUUCUAAACACUAUGUACAGUUGAUUAAUUUUAAGUUAUAAUUGCCUGCUCACAAUACGAAACAGGAACUAACCCAAAUAUAUGUUUUUUAAUUCUUGCGAUAUCAUUAGAUGGUGUUUCAGUGCACUAUUUCAUCUCGGCGCAUCAAGUUUUUUUUUUUUUUUUUUCAACAGUUUAUCCAACUGUUUGAAUGGUAACAGAUUGAUUGUAAUUUGAUUUGAAUGUUUAAUAUGGACUGGAUGCAUGGCUCUAGUCAGAGGAAUGGAAUUUCUGGUUGUGUCAAUUUUUUUUUUAAAGUAAAAAAUAAAAGGCGCUCAUAGUGAACUGGAAAAAUCACCGAUUGAUAAAAAUUCUCAUGGAUAGAGUUCAAUUUUCAGACAACAAUUCAAGAAAAUAGAACAUUAAAAUCAGAAUUAUUCUACAUUCCCGUGACAUUCAAAAUGUUGUGGAUCAUUAAAUGUUAAUAAACAAAAGGUCAUCCAACACCGUGGAUCAUUAAUGAUUAUGAAGAACUAAACCACCUUUUUUAAAAAAACAUGACAAUGACAUCCAUGACUCACAACCCAUAAGUCUAUACUGGACCCAUCAACUCACUCAAAGAUUUGGCAAUUCGGGUACGGUCCAGGUUUGGCCUUCCUGAUUAUGAAUUCAGAUGAUAAUUGUUAAUAUCGGAUCCGGAUGUAAAUCCAGAUAUUUCUCCUCCGGGUCUGGUACGGGUUAAACUCGAAAUCUAGCUUCUAGACUCAUCGAAACUGCUUCAAAAUCAAUUUCGUGUGGAUUAAUUAAAAGGGGUACAUUUCAGUUUACUCCUAGACAUAUUUUAACUCAUCUCUCAAAUUACUAAAAACAUCAACAUAUUCUUAUUUGCAGCUCAAAAAUUUAGAGUAAAUGAGUUGGGAUCAUAAUGAUAAAAUUCUUCAUGAAACUUUUUUACUUCUUAAUGAUAAAUAGGGGUGGGCUGAUGUUUUCAAUAAUUUAUGUGGUUAAUUGAAACAUGUCAACUUAUCUAAAAAGUUGUAAUGACCAAGAAGAAACUUUAUGACAAGAACUUUUAUUGAGAUAAUAAUAUUUGUUAUGUCGUGGAGCUCAAUACUUUUCUUUUUUAAAGCAAUGGAAGAAUAUAAAAAUGGAGAGUAGCUUAAUUACAGCGAUUGAUUCCUACAAUUAAUCUCUUAGAAUCAGUUGAUGGUUAUUGCCUACAUAUCAGGGAAUCAAAUCCUAAAGUUUCCUUAAGGUCAUGUUCGAUUUAAAGAAAAGGGAGGAGAGGAAAAGAAUGGAAUGGAGAGGAAGGGAAAAAAAAGGAAUAGAAAAGAGUAGUGAAAUUACAUUUUGUUGUUUGGUCUGAUAUAAAAUUUGAUAAGUAAAUAAAUUAUAAUUUUUUUCUUUAGACAAAUUUAUCCUUUAUCUUAAAUAUUAAACUAUUUAUAUUAAAAAAAAAAAAUAUAUAUAUAUAUAUAUAUAUACAUAUAUAUAUAUAUAUAUAUAUAUAUAUAUAUAUAUACAUAUAUAUAUAUGGUGGUCCGGCAGCGGGGUCCGGCGACUUUCCAGCAAAAUCUGACGGUGGACCGGUGACUUUUCGGUGGAGGUCCAUUUAUAAUAUUAAAUUAAUAAAAUAAAAUUCUAUAAUGGCAUUAAAUAAGUUAAAAAAUUGAAAGUUAAUUUUGAAAACUUUAGUUUCUAAUAGUAAAAAAAUUUAAAUUCUUCAUUACUAAGUAUGGAAUUUAAAUUCUAAUGGAAAUUAAAUUCUUAUAUAUUUUGUCAAACCAAACAAUGGAAAUAAAAAGAGAAUUUAAAUUACUUUCCUCUCCUACAUUCUCUUCUCCCAACCAAACGCCACCUAAGAGAAUUCUAGCCAUUACCAGCCUUCCCUCCCAAGAAUAGCCUUGUCCUCAAGUUUUUAAACUUGGAAAACGUUGUUGCAGCUUGUGUAAGUCUUCCCAUGUUGCAUCUUUUGGAAAUGAAUUGGACCAAUGUACUAGCAGAUGUGUUGUUGGUCGAUUGUAACGUUUAAUCAAUCUGCGAUCUAGUAUAGCAACUGGUUCCAGCUACAAGCUUCCAUCUCCUUAUGUUGGAGGCAAUUCCAAUUGUGGCUCCACAGCUUCUCCAAUUCGCUUCUUGAGGCACGAUACAUGGAAAAUUGGGUGAAUUCGAGAAUCUGGUGGCAACUCAAGCUUAUAAGCCACCUUACCAAUUUGUUGUAUCACCUUGUAAGGACCAUAAAACAUUGGGAAAGCUUCUGAUUUGAUCUUAGAGCAAUCAUUGUUUGUUUAAAUGGUUGUAGACGGAGAUAUACCAUGUCACCUACCUCAAAUUCUCGUUCUGUUCUGUUUUUAUUGGCGGCUUGCUUCAUCCAAUUCUGAGCUUGAUUCAAAUUCUCCUUCAACAACCUAAUCAUAGCAUCUCUGGCAAUUACACUUUCCUCAAGAGUAGUAACAUUAGAUUCUCCUGGAGUAUAUGUGGUAUAAUUGAGGGGUGGUAUUCCAUAAAUAACCUUAAAAGGAGUUGUUUUAGUAGAUAAAUGAAAUGAAGUAUUAUACCACCAUUCAGCCAAGGUUAACCACUUUGCCCACUCUUUUGGCCGAUCUCCAGUCAUACAAUGCAAAUGUUGCUCCAAACAUUUGUUAACAAUCUCGGUUUGCCCAUCGGUUUAAGGAUGGUUGGCUGAACUCAUGUGAAGCUAGGUUCCCUGAAGUGUAAACAGACCUUGCCAGAAUUUACUACAAAAGAUCCGAUCUCUAUCACUUAUUAUAGUUCUCGGCAUGCCAUGUAACUUGUAAAUAUUAUCCAAGAAUGACUGUGCUACAUCCAUAGUUUUAUAAGGAUGGCUAAGUGUCAUAAAGUGAGCAUAUUUACUAAGCCGAUCGACGAUCACAAAAAUAACAUCCUUUCCUUAAGACUUUGGCAGGCCUUCAAUAAGUCCAUGGAAAUGUCAGUCCAUACUUGAUCUAGAAUGCGCAGAGGUUGAAGUAGUUUAGGAGUGGAGAUGUUUUCUGUCUUAUUUCGUUGACACCAUCACAUUCAGCCACAAAUGCACAAACAUCUUUCUUUAACUUCUUCCAAUAGAAAGCUCUUUUAACUCUCUUUAAAGUCUUCUUAACAUCUGAGUGACCUCCGUUUGGCCCGUUAUGAGCUUCCUGUAACAAUGCCAUCUUUAGAUUUGAAUUUGCCACCAAUCACAAUCAUCCUUUAUAUCUAAGCUGAUUGUGAUCCCAAGAAAAUUUUUUAUUAGCUAAGGGAGUGUUUUGGAUUUCCUUAUUAGCUUCUGAACCUUCAAAUCUCCUUCUUAUUCUCUUUUAAGUUGAUCAAUCCACUCAGCCACUGGAAAACAGAGAGUUAUAAUACCAAUUGAUUCAUCAGACUGCCUUAACAAUGCAUCAGCUACUUUAUUCUCCCUUCCACUUCGAUACGACAUCUCAAAGUCAUAGCCAAUUAGCUUAGUUAACCAUUUAUGCUACAUCGGUGUUGAUAUAUAUUGUUCUAACAAAUACUUAAGGCUGAAAUGAUCAGUGCAUGCCUUGAACUGUCUCCCAACAGGUACGGUCGCCAUUUUUGUACAAUAAAUACUAUUGCCAGCAUCUCCCUUUCAUAGGUUGAUAAACCUAAAUUUUUUGGUGAUAAUGCCUUGCUAACAAAAGCAAUGGGCCUUUCCUCUUGCAUAAGAAUAACCUUAAUUCUGCCAUCUGAUGCAUCACACUUAAUAACAACUGUUUAGAAAAGUCAGGCAUGGCUGGUACAGGUGCAAAAGACAUAGCUACCUUAAGCUUUUCAAAAGCUUUCUCUACUUCAGAAGACCAAUGAAAAUUGUCCUUCUUAAGUAAAUUAGUGAAACGACAACUGAUUUUUCUAUCAUUCCUUAUAAAGCGUCUAUAGUAGCCUGUUAGACCCAAGAAUCUACGUAAAAAUUUCAAUGAUUUCGGUCUAGGCCAUUGUUUCAUGCACUCCACCUUAGUUGGAUUUGUUGCAACCCCCUUUUCAGAAAUCAAAUGUCCCAAAUAUUCUAGCUACUACUUCGCAAAUGAAUACUUGGAUUUUUUGACAUAAAGCUGACUCUACUUAAGUGCUUCAAGUGUGAGAUUGAGAUGACUCAAAUGAUCCUUCCAGCUCCUACUAUAAACCAGUAUAUCGUCAAAGAAAAUCAAAACAAACUUUCGCAAAUACGGCUUGAAGACCUCAUUCAUUAGACUUUGAAAAGUAAAAGAUGCAUUGAUUAACACCGAAUGACAUGACAAGAAAUUAAUAAUGGCCCUAAUGAGUAUGAAAUGCAGUUUUAGGCACAUCCUCUAGGUGAACUCUAAUAUGAUGGUAACCAGAUCUCAGAUCUAACUUUGAAAAAAUUGUAGCUCCAUACAAUUCGUCAAGUAACUCAUCAAUCACGGGAAUGAGGUAUUUAUCCUUGAUAGUCACACUGUUAAGGGCUCGAUAAUCUACACACAUUCUCUAACUACUAUCCUUUCUUUUAACUAAUAAAACUGGUGAAGAAAAAGCACUUACAGUUGGUUGGAUGCUCCCAGUUUCCAAAAGUUCCUCGACAAUUUUCUCAAUCUCGUUCUUUGAACAUAGGGGUAUCAGUAAGGCCUUUCAUUGGGUGGUACAGUUCCUGGCUUGAGAGGAAUUCGAUGAUCAUGUGCACUUGAUGGAAGAAGGCUUUUAGGCUCAGAAAAAAUGUCCUCGUACUGCUGCAAUAGUUCUUGUAACUCUGAUGGCUCAUCUUCCCAUCUCUUCUUUUUUUCUAUAAGCGAAUCAUCUACAUGGAUUGAAAAUAAUUUAGCCACCGUAGUAGGAGUAGUUUGCUUCAAUGCCUUAUCCAUAUGGUCUGGAGAAACUAACUUAAUUGGCCCUGUAGUAGCACCCCUCAGCACAUGUCUUUUCCUAUUAAUCUUAAACUCCAUCCAUAGCCUUUUAAAAUCCCACAAUAUUGGUCCAAGUUCUGCCAGCCAUUGUAUUCCAAGCACCAUAUCACAACCUCCUAAAGGAAUAAGUCUCAUGUCUGCCUGAAAUUCCUUUCCUUGUAUGUUCCAUUGCAACUACCUACAAAUGCCAGUUCUAGUAAUUUUUGUGCUAUUUGCUACUAUUACCAUUAAAGGACUUGUGUGAUGAAUUGUGCAUCCAGUUCAUUUGGCAACUAGUGGAUUAAGGAAGUUAUGGGUGCUGCCAGAGUCAAUCAGGAUUGUUAUAGCUUUCUGUUUGAUGUUCCUUCGUACCGUCAUUGUUUGAUGAGUUGUGGCUCAUGCUAGAGCAUUAAGAGAGACAACAGGUUCUUCUGUGUUUUCAGCUUCAUCGGCUUCAUCUUCUUUCUCUUCAAUCGUGUUAAGUAUAGCUAAAGCUGCUAAGCUGGCUGGCUGGUGACGUGUAUAAGCUGAAGCUGCUGAGCUGGAUUGGGUUGUUGUUCACACUAACUAAGCUGUAAUGGAUUAUCCAGCUGGCUUGAUGUGAUUGGAAGUUUGAUUAGUUUGUUAAUAUAGCAAACGUUGAGCUCUGUUUUGGUUGUUAGUUUUGAGUGUAACUAUAAAUACUGACUAACACGUUUUCAGUGUUAAGCUUGAGUUUUAAUCAAUAAGAAUCUCCUCUGAUAAAGUUUCUUUGUUAAUUUUCUUUCACUUUCUUACUUGCCAAACAUCUUAUUAAUUCUAAUGCGGUAUCAGAGCCUGCACCUAUGUCAGGAUCUAAUCAUAUAGCUUCCUCAUCACUUUCAUUCAACUUUGUUCAACCUGUAAAACUCGAUAGAUCAAACUACCUGGUGUGGAAAGCUCAAGUUAGAACGUCGAUCAUUUCUAAUGGACUUAAAAGCUUCAUCAAUGGUGAGAAUGUAUGUCCAGAAUGUUAUCUCACUGAAUCUACUCAAGAACUUCGAAGAUCUAGAGCUGAAGCAUCACAGAAGCAUGAAAAUCCAGACUAUAUCUUAUGGAUGAAAACUGACAAACUUCUGCAGAGCUGGAUGCUUUCAUCAAUGGUGGACAAUGUAUUAAUCAUGGUGAUCAAUUGUGAAACAUCACUUGAGCUUUGGGAGAUGCUUGCUGGAAUCUUCAUGUCACAAUCCAAAGCGAGAUAUCUGCCUUUGAAGAUGCAUAUUCAAUCAACAAAGAAAAGACCACUUUCAAUUAGUGAUUACUUCAAUAAGAUGAAGAAAAUUGCUGACAGCUUAGCCAUUAAAGGUAAUCCAAUUACUUUGAAUGAAUUAAUUAUGCACUUGCUUACUGGAUUGGAUGAAAACUAUGAAUCCUUAGUCACAAAUAUACUUACUAGAUUGGAAAAAGAGAAACUUACUGUUGAAGAGGUGUAUUCUAUGAUGCUUAGUCAUGAAACUAGGUUGGAAAUGAGCAAAAGAAAAUCACAUAAUGAACCUCUGCAUGAUAUGACAACAAAUUUUGCUAAGAAAGGCCAAGGUUAUAAUAGAUUUGGAUAUAAUCAGAAAAAUGUAGGUGCUGGAAAUUUUAAUGUUUAUGAUAACAAUCAGAACAUGAGUACUAGUCCUGGAAAAGAUGGUGUGUAUCGAAUCUGUUACAUUCCAGGCCAUGGAGCUUAUAAGUGUAAACACAUAUUCAAUCAUGUGUUUAUUCCUAGAAACAAAGGUUUUAGUGGUUUCAGGCCAAUAUGUGGAGGUCAGAAUUAUAAAGGAUUCCCUAAAAAUAAUCAAAAUUAUUUUGGUAGAGGUUCUGGAUACAAUAGUUCAGGUUUUGGAUCUGGAUUCAGACCUAACUUUCCUAGGUAAGCUGGACCUACUGGACCUUUCUUUGGUUAUGUCGCCUAUCAGAAUCCAAGAUUCAUGAACCCUCAAGGUGCCUUUGAUUUUCCAAGUGCAAAUGGUGACUAUAAUGGUGUUCCGACAGCAAACAUGUAUGCUAGAAAUUAUGGCAUUCCUCAUAAUGUUCCUCCCUCUGCACAAUUGGCAAACUAUAGCAGUGUAGCUUAUCCAGCCUGGUACCUUGACUCUGGAGCAACAAAUCACAUUGCUCAAGAUGCAGGUAUACUUUCUAAGUACUCAACUUACCAUGGCCUUGAAAAACUACAUGUAAGAAAUGGUAUGGGGCUGCCUAUUCAUAAUGUUGGAUUUGUUGCUGUUAAAACCUUGACUACAACACCUAUUAACCUAAAUCAUGUUCUGCAUGUCCCUACAAUUACUAAAAACCUUAUCAGUGUUUCCAAAUUGCUUGCUGAUAAUAAUGUUUUUAUUGAGUUUUACAACCAUGUUUGUUUUGUUAAGGACAAGAAUUCAAGAAUCACAUUGCUCAAGGGGAUUGCUAAAGGAGGUCUUUAUCAAGUUUCAAGCUUAAAUGUAGCAUGUGAUAACUCCAGUUCUAUGUUUCCAGUGUCAACCUCAUCUGAGUCUGUUUUUAAUUCAAUAAGUACAUUGUCAGCAGCUCCAGCGUCCUAUGUUUACUCAACUGAGUUCAUUUGAUACUAAGUUUCAUCCUUGUAUGCUUGUAAAUAAUCCUCAAAUCAAUAAGAAUGUCUCUGUGGCUCAUUUUGCUUCAUAUAAUAAGACUAUUGAUUAUAGUUUACUGCACAAAAGAAUAGGUCAUCCAACUACUCAUGCUUUAAAACAAAUCAUGAAAUGCCUGAAUUCAAAUUUUAUUCUUCCCAAAGAUUUAAGAUCACAGUUCUGUAAUGCCUGUCAACUAGGCAAGUGUCAUAUGCAGCAUUUUCCCUUAAUAGAAACCUCAACCACUUAGCCCCUUGAAUUACUACAUGCUAACCUUUGGGGACCAGCUCCCAUUACCUCUUCACAAGGUUACACCUACUAUCUAUCCAUUCUAGAUGACUACACCCGAUACACUUGGAUUUUUGCUCUCACUGCAAAAUCCAAAACCUUGUCAGCCUUUAUUGAAUUAAAAAACAUGAUUGAAAACUGCAUGAACUUGAAAAUUAAAUGUUUACAAACUGAUUGGGGUAGUGAAGUCAGGUCUUUUGUGUCAUAUCUUUCUGACCAAGGUAUACAAUUUAGACAUCCAUGUCCUUAUAUCCACCAUCAAAAUGGAAGAAUAGAGAGAAAACAUAGACAUAUUGUUGAAACAGGUCUUACACUUCUUGCCCAAGCUCACUUGCCACUUAAAUUCUGGUGGAAUGCAUUCCAUACAACCACAUAUCUUAUUAAUAGACUUCCUACACAUGUUCUCAACAAUAAAUCACCAUUUGAGAAACUUUUUCAUAAACCACCAGAUUAUACAUUCAUAAAAGUCUUUGGUUGCUCUUGCUACCCCUAUCUCAGACCUUACAAUCAUCAUAAACUCCAGUUUAGAAGUGAAAAAUGUGUCUUUAUUGGCUAUAGCUCUCUUCACAAAGGCUAUCGGUGUCUUCAUCCUUCUGGCAUGGUGUAUAUCAGUAAUCAUAUCAUUUUUGAUGAGUCAUCAUUUCCCUUCAAGUCAGCUGAAAAUUUUCUGCAAAAUCAAAUUCUAAUUCUUUGCAAUAGUCUAUUUCUUCAAAUUCUUUUGUCUCUUUCACCUUAUCACAGACUACUGCACAACUUGAUAGAUCAUUCUCUCAAUUAGCACCUUCAGCAACUGAUUUUCCUUCCAACUUAAAUUUAUCUAGCUCUAAAAAUCACCCCCUGUCUCAUACUCCUAUUCCUAUACAUCAACAUUCAUCUUCUCAACAUCUUCAUCACCUAUCUCUAUCUUCUCAAUCCACUGAUGGACAUCCUAUGAUUACUCGAUCUAAAAUGGGGAUAUUCAAACCAAAAAAGGCCUAUCUAGUUGAAUGUGAUCCUAAACCAACAGAACCACUCACAGUUUCAGCUGCCCUCAAUGAUCCAAAGUGGCUUCAGGCAAUGAGAGAAGAAUAUUAAGCCUUAGUUAAUAAUCAAACCUAGACACUUGUUCAGCCUACAUAUCCUAUCAAAGUUGUAGGAAACAAGUGGGUGUUUAGAAUUAAACAUAAUGCAGAUGGUAGUAUUUCAAGGUACAAAGCCAGACUUGUAGCAAAGGGUUUCCAUCAAACUCAAGGCAUUGAUUACAAUGAAACCUUCAGUCCAAUAGUGAAGGCUUCUACAGUUAAACAUGUUUUGAGCUUGGCUGUUCUUAAUCACUGGUCACUGAGACAAGUUGACAUUAAUAAUGCUUUUCUUAAUGGAUAUCUUACUGAAGAAGUAUAUAUGCAGCAACUCGAAGGCUUUGUGGAUCAAUCCAAACCUGCACAUAUCUGUAAACUUCAAAAGACAUUAUAUGGUCUCAAACAAGCUCCUAGAGCUUGGUUUGAUAGAUUAAAAAUAGUGGUAACUCAACAAUGGGGCUUCAAGAAUUCCAAGUCUGGUAAUUCUCUAUUUUUCCAGAGGGUUCAAGGUCAUCUCUUGCUGGUAUUAGUCUAUGUGGAUGAUAUUAUUGUAACAGGUUCAGACUCUGCACAAAUUCAGCAAGUUAUUACCAAUCUACAAACUACAUUUGCUCUAAAAGACCUUGGAGAACUGCAUUUUUUUCUUGGUAUUCAAGUCACCAAAACUGAUACAGGCUUGCAUCUCUCUCAGUCAAAGUAUAUAGCUAAUCUACUUAACAAGGUUAAGAUACAAGAUUGUACUCCCUGCUCAACUCCAAUGGCUGCAAAUGUUCCACUUACCAAAACUGACAGUGAACCUUUUGUUGAUGCAACUUUGUAUAGAAGCACAAUUGGAGCUCUUCAGUAUGCUACCCUGACCAGACCUGAGAUAUCAUUUCCAGUUAAUAAAAUCAGCCAAUUUCUAGCUGCUCUAACAAUUAAUCACUGGCAAGCAUGCAAAAGGAUUCUUAGAUAUCUAAAGGGUACAAUGCAUAUGGGGUUACAGUAUUCUCAUCAAGGUCCCUUGAACAUAGACUGUUUCAGUGAUGCAGACUGGGCAGCUGACAGGGAUGACAGAAAAUCAAUUGCUGGGUACUGUGUUUACUUUGGCCCCAAUCUGAUUUCUUGGUGUUCAAAGAAACAAGGAGUAGUGUCCAGGUCCAGCACUGAAUCAGAAUAUCGAGCUCUAGCAAUGGAUCUGAAGUUUUGUGGCUUAAGUCCUUGUUGACUGAAAUUGGUAUUUCUCUUGUCUCUACUCCUGUCAUUUAGUGUGAUAACCAAAGUGCAGCUGCUUUAGCAAGUAAUCCUAAAUUCCACUCCCGAACUAAACACAUUGAGCUUGAUGUUCAUUUCUUGCGAGAAAAGAUUGCUAAUCAAAGCUUCCAAGUUAGUUAUGUUCCUAGUUCUCAUAACUCAGCUGAUAUCCUUACUAAAGCUUUAGCUUAUCAUUCUUUUCAUUAUCUGAGAGACAAGCUAACCCUCACUUCACUAGGCUGAGCUUGAGGGGGGAUGUUAAGUACAGUUGAAGCUGCUGAGCUGGUUGGCUGGUGACGUGUAUAAGCUGAAGCUGCUGAGCUGGAUUGGGUUGUUGUUCACACUAACUAAGCUGUAACGGAUUAUCCAGUUGGCUUGAUGUGAUUGGAAGUCUGAUUAGUUUGUUAAUAUAGCAAACGUUGAGCUCUGUUUUGGUUAUUAGUUUUGAGUGUAACUAUAAAUAUUGACUAACACGUUUUCAGUGUUAAGCUUGAGUUUUAAUCAAUAAGAAUCUCCUCUGAUAAAGUUUCUUUGUUAAUUUUCUUUCACUUUCUUACUUGCCAAACAUCUUAUUAAUUCUAAUAAAUCGUAUCAUCACCUUCAACUCCCUUAAGAAGGAAAAAAUGUCUCUUCUUGCAUUUGUGUCUUAGUUCAUACUUUUCGUCGUAAUAAUAACAUAGUUUCUUCUCUCAUCGUUCAUGCUUUCAACUGCUAAAAUCCUUUUUACUGGUGGUAGUUGUCCAUUUGAGGUAUGCUUGGGUGGUCCUGAUUGAUUGAAUUAAGUUUUAAGUGAUGCUUGUGUCUCUUUGAUCAUAGCCUCCAUGGUGAUUUCUUAUAAAAGUGCUAAUCCAAUUGCCUGAGAAAAUGUGUUAGGCUAGAACAUGACCACCUGAUUAUUUAUUGCUUCAUUUAAGCCACUAAUAAAAUAGUCCACUAAAACUUCCUCCAACAGUCCUUUAGUUUUUUCCAUCAGUAGCUCAAAUUGUUCUUAGGAUUGCCUGACUAGAGAAAUUUGCUGCAGCUUGAUAAGUUGCCCCACUGGAUUUUCAUAUUUACCAGGCCCAAAUCUUAUAAUCUCAUCGGUGGAAAAAACCCUCCAAUUCAAAUUUUUAGCGCCUACUUCAUACCUUUGAAACCAUUCUAAGGCUUUCCCCUCCAAAUGAAUUGACACAAAAUUCACCAUCUCCUUCUCCUCAACUCCAUUAUACUUAAAAAAUUGCUCACAUUUAUAAUCCCAACCACUUGGAUUUUCACCAUUAAAAAUAGGGAAAUUCAAUCUUGGAAACUUUUUUUGGAAUUGAUUCAUACUAGUUUAUUGUCCAUGGGGUUGCUUGGUCGCUCUAGCACCUUUCGACAACUCUCCAAGUUUUGCAAAUUUAGCAACCAAUUGCUUAUACUUAAGGUUCAUUUCCAUUACCAGCCUAGUCAAUUCUGUGAUGGCAGCAACUUAUUUGUCAGAAUUUUCCUUCAGUUGUCAAACGACCUCUUCCAUUCGUUUGACUUCCUGUGCUCUAGUCCUCUGACUGUUUUAGGUGGAGGAAGAUUAGAAAUGAGAUCCACCUUGGCUUUGUCAACCUCAAUACCUUUGCUCGAAAUGAUGUGACCGAGAACAAUACUUUGUUUUACCAUAAAAUGGCACUUCUCCCAAUUCAAGACUAAGUUCUUCUCGGUACAUCUCUGUAGAACUAGCGUUAGAUGAUGUAAACAUUGAUCAAACGAGUCACCAAAGACAGAAAAGUCAUCCAUAAAGACUUCAAGGAAUCGUUCAACCAUAUCAGAAAAAAUGCUUAACAUGCAUCGUUGAAAUGUAGCAGGUGCAUUACAUAAUCCAAAUGGCAUUCUCCUAUAUGCAAAAGUGCCAAAAGGGCAAGUGAAAGUAGUUUUCUCCUGAUCUUUUGGUGCUAUGGGAAUCUGAUUAUAUCCUGAGUAGCCAUCUAGAAAGCAAUAAAAUUCAUGGCCUGCUAAUCUAUCAAGCAUUUGAUCAAUAAAUGGUAAAGGAAAAUGGUCUUUACGUGUGACAGAAUUCAACUUUCUAUAAUCAAUGCAUACACGCCAUCCUGUAGUUACUCUAGUUGGUAUCAAUUCAUUAUCAGCAUUGGUAACUACUGUGACUCCUGACUUUUUGGGGACAACUUGUACAUGACUGACCCAUGAACUAUUAGAAAUUGGGUAAAUGAUACCUGCGUCUAAUAGCUUAAGGACUUCUGUUCUAACAACUUCUUUCAUAUUAGGAUUUAACCGACGUUGCAUUUCCCUAGUAGAUUUAGCAUUUUCAUCAAGGUGAAUGUAAUGCAUGCAGUCUACUGGGUUUAUACCUUUUAUGUCCGCUAUGGUCCAUCCUAAUGCUCCUUUGUGCUCUUUUAAAACAUCCAACAACUUACCUUUUUGUUCGUCAUUGAGGGAUGAUGAAAUGAUUAUCGGUAGAGUACUUUCUUCUCCCAAAAAUGCAUAUUCCAAAGUGUUGGGUAAUGGUUUGAGCUCGAGUUUCGGUGGUGAUUCUGAUGAUGGGAUGAGUUUCUUUUCUGAUGGUGAUAGUUGUUCUACUCUUGACUUCCAUUUAUUAGUGUCCAUGGAUGGUGCUGAGUCAAGUAGGGCGUUGACCUCUUCGACCGAUCUGUCAAUAUCAAAAUCCAAACCAAAGUGAGUUAAACAUGUUUGUGAAGGAUCAUCACUAAGGUUUGAAAGAAAAGUAUUAUCAACUAUUGUUUCUAUUAAAUCCACAUCAACAAUUCCAUCAUCUGCACUGUGAGGUUGUUUGGCAAUGUUGAAAAUGUUCAGCUCCAUAGUCAUGUUGCCGAAGGACAACUGCAUAUUUCCAGUCCUACAUUGAAUAUGAGCAUCUGCAGUUGCCAAGAAAGGUCGGCCUAGAAUAAUGGGGAUGUGCUUCCUUGAGUCCUGUAUUGGUUGAGUGUCAAUUACAAUGAAAUCAACAGGAAAAUAAAACUUGUCUACCUGGAUAAGCACGUCCUCCACAAUACCACGAGGUAUUUUCGUGGACCGAUCUGCAAGCUGUAACACCACUGGAGUUGGGUGUAAUUCUCCCAGUCCAAGUUUCAAAAAUACUGAGUAAGGUAAUAGAUUUACACUAGCUCCUAAAUCCAACAAAGCAUUCUCAAUUGUGUGGUUCCCUAUACUACAUGAGAUAGUGGGGGAGCCUGGGUCUUUGCAUUUUAAAGGAAUUUUAUGUUGGAGUAUAGAACUAACAUUUUCUGUUAAAAAUGCCUUCUUUUGAACAUGCAUAUUUCUCUUUUUAGUACAAAGGUCUUUAAGAAACUUGGCAUAAGAUGGAACUUGCUUUAUAGCAUCAAGUAAAGGGAUGUUAACACUUACCUGUUUGAAGAUUUCGAGAAUCUCACCUGUGGAUUUUCCCUUCUUUCCUUUCGUUAACCUCUGAGGAAAUGGAGCUUUGGGAACGUAUUCUUGUGGGUUGGUUUCUUCUUUUUCCUCCGGUGGUGAGUCCUCAACAUUCACAGGUACAAUUUGAUUUUCUUUUGUCACCGGCAUCUCCACUUUGUUGUCGACUUCCUUUCCUUUUCGCAAGGUCAUGACUGCUUUGACCUCUCCAUGCUGCUGUGGUGAACUGGUACUUGCUUCAUGUACCCCUUUAGGAUUAGGCACUGGUUGACUUGGAAAUUUUCCUUUCUCAACAGUCAUUGCCAAGGUCUGAACUGAAGAAGCAAGUUGUCCCACCAUCUUCUCGAGGCUUGAAACUGAUUGAGCUUGUGAAUUGAAGCCUGCUCUCAACUCAUUUCGUAGUCCAUCAAUGGUGCGGUUCUGUUGCUCAAUCGUAGAGUGAGUAGCAUUCUUGAAAUUCUGGAAUGAAUUCUCCCAUGGUCUGGGUUGAGAGUAGUUUUGGUUCUGAUUGUAUGGUCUAAAUGGGGGCUGAGAGGCUUGAGGAUUUUGAGGAAUUGGUUGCAUUGGUGGAGCUGGAGCUGCUGGUCCAUUCUGUUGGAAUCCUUGAGACCAUGAAAAAUUGGGGUGAUCUCUCCAUCCAGGGUUAUAUGUGUUGGAGUAUGGGUUGUAAUUCGAUGGUUUUCUCAUUACACCUAUGGCAUUGGCUUGAUCGGAGUAUGAGUCAUGGUCAUGUGGUUCUGUUGAUUUAGCAGUCGAUAACGAUGCUAUUUGUCGAGCGAGACCUUCAACCAUCUCCUUGACUUCUUUGAUUCCCGAAGUUGACUCGCCAAUUUAAACCUCAUUUACUCCCUUAAUUCUUCUAGUAUUCCUGAGUGAUCGACUCCGUUGUUGGGAAUUAUCCGCUUGUCGCUGGAAGAAUUCCCAAAUCUCUGAUGCACUUUUUGACAUUAGCUCUCCUCCACUUGUUGCCAUUAGCCAUUCUUGCACAUUCGGCAAUAAUCCCUCCAAAAAGUAUUGGCAUUGGUGCCAUUUCUCGUACCCAUGAUGUGGACACUUCAAGAGUAGCCCAUUGAAUCGCUCCCAAGUUUCGAAAAACUGCUCGUCCUCUCUUUGUGUAAACUCUGAAAUUUCCCUGCGAAUAGAAUUGAUUUUAUGCACUGGGAAAUAUUUAUUUAGAAAUUUUGUAACCAUUUGUUCCCAUGAUGCAAUGCUAUUAGCAGGCAAAGUAUUUAACCAUGAACGAGCUCUAUCCUUUAAAGAAAAUGGGAAUAAUCUAAGUUUAACAUCAUCGUCUGAAAAAUUUUCAUAUUUAAAAGUUUGACAAAUUGCAUGAAAAUCAUUCAGAUGAUUAUAUGGGUCCUCAUUUUCUAGGCCAUAGAAUGUGGGGAGACAAUUUAGCACACUAGGUUUUAAUUCAAAACUCCUAGCAGCUACAUUUGGGUAUCUUAUGCAUGAUGUGCUCAAAUUAGCUAAGGGACUAAAAUAGUCCUUAAAUGGCCUCUCCUGUGGUGCUUGUAAAUCCAUUCCAAAUUUAUUUUUAAUGUGCUUUUGUGUGCGAAGUGUUUUUUCUAAUUCAAGGUCUAUAGGUUCAAGAUUAGGUAAUAAUGACCUACGACCAUGCAUGCAAAAUAAAUAAAAUAAAAAUAAAGAUGGGAACAAAACAAAUAAAAAUAAAGAAGAGGGAGAAAUUACGAUACUAACCUUAUUGCGCUAUUACAACCUUUCUAUAAAAAUACACAAAAACAAAUACGUGAAAUAAAUUAACUAAAAAUUAAAUUAAUAAAAUACACAAAAAUUACAAAGAAAAAAUAAAUUGAAAAUUAAAUUACAGAAUUUUUUUUAAAAAAGAAAAGAAAUACUAACCUUUAAAUGUAGAUUUACUUUUUUUUUUCUUUUUUUUAAUAAUAAAAAAAUACAAGAAAACAAAUAAAAGAAAUUAUUCACAAAAAUUAAUUCUAUGAAUUAAAAUUACUUACCUCCCCGGCAACGGCGCCAAAAACUUGUUGUGCAAAUUUUAAUGAACUCGCAAGCGCACGCAUCUAUUGUAGUAUAGAUCAAUGGUGACGAGUGUCGAUCCCACGAGGAGGUGGAUUUUAAUUGUGUAUAGAAUUAAUUUUGCAAAUGGUUGAUUGGAUCUGUGGUGGAAAUGAUUUAGAAUAUGCUAAAACUUAAAUUAAAAUGGCAAGAAUAAAUUCUGAAAUUGGAAUUGAAAUGGCGAGAAUAAAUUGAAGAGAAUUCUAUUGAAAUGACGUACUUGGGUAUCUGGAUCCGUAUCAACAUGCAUCAUGGGCUAAAUAUUCCUUAUUAAUACCAAUUAAAUCAUGAGGGGGGAAUCCACACCUCAUGAACCACGCUCUAAUCAAUAUGGUGCUAAGGGCUUAUCGUGCCAAAUAAUAAUAACCUUAUACUAGAGAGCCGGUGUAACCAAGGCGGUAUCUAGACAAGAUCAGUAUUAUUUGUCGACGAUAAGUCAAAUCAUCCACAAAAACUAGAGGGGAAAAGAAAAUAAAUUUACCAAAUAAAGCCCAUGACACAUGUUGAGACUUCACCUUCAACCCAAGCUUGAAAGGAAAUUAGCUACUCAUAAUUGAACUAGGGGCAAAAUGGGAAUUUAUUAAAAUACAAAGAAAAUACAAGAUGGAGAAGGAAUUACAGAAAAUGGAUCCCAAAAAUGGAUUCAGAGAUAUCAAAUUAGGGGGGAGAGGCCCCCUUUUUAUAGAUACAUGGAGUAAAUCAUGGCCAUCAGAUUAAAAACAGUUUGGACGCUCAGGAUUGCGCCACGUCAUCAGUCAACAGUCCACGGUUUGACCACGUGGAUGAACAGUAAUAUGGUUUGACCUGGAUGAACAGUAACACGAUUUGGUUGAAAAUAAUCCUGUGUGAUGCAUGCACCGUACGCGAGAUUUUUCGUCCACUGAUAUGCUGCCACGUCACCAUCAACAGUACAUAAGAAUUUUAGUCCAACAGGAUCGUGACACCUCAUCAGUCAAUGCCACAUCAUCGGUCAAUGCCACAUCAUCGUCCGUCAAUGUGAACAGUAUCGUGAACAGUAACGUAUACAGUACCGUACACGUGAAUAGUACCGUACAUGUGAAUAGUGCCAUUUUUCCUUUUAUGCCCCUCCUAAGGUUUUCGACCGUCCUGAGUUCAAAAGUGAUGUCCGUUUUGCCGUCUGAUCUCUCCUUUAUUGUGAAAUGACUAUAAUGCCCUUAAAAUACAUAAAAUACUUAAUUAAAAUAACACACGCGUAAUUACAUCACAAGAAGGUUAAAUACAUAAAAGUAAGAGUUGUUAGUAAGACUUGAAAUGUAAAAUGAUGGUUUUCUCCUUUAUAAAUAUGCAUUUUCUAACACUCAACAAUGACCUUACAAGACCAAAUCAUGUGUUACAUGACCUAGUUAUAAUCGGCACAAUCCAUCGAUUUUUCACAAUUUACAUGCAGCAAAACAACUAAAAAUUUAUUUUUGAAUAUAUUAUGAGAGGCCCACAACUAAUUAAUCUAUUUUUUCAAUAUAAAACCCUAAAUUUUUUUAUUUUUCCAUAAAUAUCAACAAGAAAGUUAAUUAUAAGGCAUUACUUACCUCCAAUAGUUAAAGGAUCAACUCUCACCGGUGAUUGUGCAGUGACGAAUUAGGCUUCUUGAUUUACUCGUAUUGAUAUUCGAUUUAGCAUGUAUGAAGUAUGAGUGUUUGUUUAAGCAAAGUAGUUAUGUUUGAGUUGAAAUGUUUUAAAAUAAGGAUAAUUUAGUAAUUUUAUAUUAAUUUUUAAAAGAUAUUGAUGAAAAUUUUGGUGAAUUCUGUUUUUAGAGUAGUUAGAUAAUUUUUAAAGUAUCAAGUUGUAUCUACUGCAAUUUCCUCGUAAAUUGGAUCCCAAAAAAAAAAAAUUGAUCCAAUAGAAAAAACCUAUAAUAUGUUGGUCCACCAACAAUGCGGCCAAAUUAGCCUUUCGCUUUGAGCUUCCCCUCGUGGACUGUUGUAACUUGUAAUCCCCAUGGUCCCAAUUACCCACUAAUAUACUAUUAUCCUAACUUUUAAUCCAAACCGUUAGAUACAAUUGCUCAAAAUCCAACGGUUGUCGUGAAAUCUAAAAAGUCAACCGUGAAAUUCAAAAUGAAUUUUGCAAAGAGAAAUGAAAGGGUAGUUUAAUACUUUAAUUAGUCAUUAAUGCCCUCUAUUUUCCAUUUGAAUCAGAAAAAGGAAGCCACCGGACCGAUCGACACUCGACGGACAAAAAAAUGCCAAAGUUCACUCUUGACAAUUCCUUUCGUUUCGGCAGCCGAAACGAAACUAUCACUAACUUUCACUCUGAAUCUAUUGAGAAGAUAAUAAAAAAGUUGACUAAAGAUUGGCUUGGGCAGUUUGCACGCGAAGAGCAGAUCCAGGCCGAUCUGAUUGGGUGGAAGAAGAUGUUUGUGAAGAUUAAUGAGGUGCUAGAUGAUGCGGUGGAGAAACAGACGAAGGAGUCAGUGAAGAGGUGGCUAGGCAAACUUCGCAACUUGGCUUGCGAUGUUGAUUACUUGCUGGAUGAGUUUCAAACGGAAGCUUUCCAGAGGAUGUUGCUGCAAGAUGAUGAUGAUGUGAUGUCUAAAGUAAAGGUGGUCGAUGCUAGAAUGCAAGAUAUUGCAUCGCAGAUAGACCCACUAGAUUUGAGAAAAAAAUCAGCUGGGAAGUCUAGAAAUGUCGGCAGAGUAAUCUUGUCGGCAGUAAGGCUAGGAGGAGGAGGCAGAGAUCCUCCAGGCUUAGCUUUCUCGCGAAUAAAAAUCUUUAGUAAGUCAGAGCUGCUAAAAGCCACCAAAAAUUUUCAUCACUGUCUUGGUAUGG
RNAcentral lists this long non-coding RNA (20611 nucleotides) under Citrus maxima (pomelo). RNAcentral's name for it is "long non-coding RNA (CMAX_LNC002454)". The stretch from base 16828 to 16931 matches the Rfam family "Plant small nucleolar RNA R71". The record is from RNAcentral. Lineage: Eukaryota; Viridiplantae; Streptophyta; Magnoliopsida; Sapindales; Rutaceae.